This is a long non-coding RNA of Phyllostomus discolor (pale spear-nosed bat), 1367 nucleotides long. RefSeq lists it as uncharacterized. The transcript has 2 exons. The record is from RefSeq and is a predicted model, not a curated record. NCBI's taxonomy places the organism in Eukaryota, Metazoa, Chordata, Mammalia, Chiroptera, Phyllostomidae.
UUAUCAAAAUAAAGAAACCUGAGAAAGAUGCUGAACAAGGAGUGAUGAUUCCUUGGCUAAGUAAUGCACUCCCUUUCUCAGGAAGAAAACUUUUGAACAUAUUUAAGAUAAUGAUAAACUGCACCAAUUUCAGAGGGCAAAAGAUGAGAAGGUACAGUAUUUUGUUUGUGUGUCUCAAAAACUCAGGGGUAGUUAGUAAACUGUGCUUGCAUUAGCCUUUAUACUACAUAAACUGUGUAUAUUAUAGCCUAUUUUCCACAAUAAAACUGGUAGAUACUCUGUGCAAGAACAGUUUAGUUUGGAAUGUUUAUUUCUGAUAGCAAAGCAAUUCCUUCUACAGAGGCAGUUUUAUCACUUUCACUUAAUAAAAUGAAUUUAUUCCAAACUCUGUUGCCCCCUUCUUUGCUCAGAAUAUAUUUAUUCCACAAUUCUAAAUCUUCUUACUCUGUAAAUGCUUAUUUUUCUGCAGAUCCAUUAUCCAGUAUUUUAUAAAAUAAAAAUUCUUAAUAACUAAAUGACCAUCCUUUUAAGUGCUUAAAUAUAGUGAUUCCAAUUAUUAUUUUAUUGGCUGCAAACAAUGGUGCUUGCAGUUGAAUAGUACCAAUGUUUUCUCAGCAGGACUAUAAAUAUGUGUUAUUCUUCCUCUUUAAGUAACUAGUCCUAAGUGAACAAACUAUAAACUUUUAUAUAGUAAGAAUGGUUUAAAGCUUCCCCUAAUAAAUCUUCUCAGUCUUAGGCUAUACUUCCAUACCACUGAAAGAAAUAGCUGAUUUUGCACAAGUUUUGAAAUACAGUGUUUUCCAAAGUAUAUGCUUCAUCAGCAAUUUAUUUUAACAUCCACAUCUCCCUCUCAAAGGGAAUUCAAACUAAUUAUGUAUUGUCCCAAAUGCCUAGAUACCAUUGAUACCAUAUGAAUUCAUAUAUUAUUCAAAAAGCUGGUUUUUUACUUAUUAAUAUGAUUCUUAUUAGGUAAACUGUUACUCCAAUUCUAGAGAGAGUGUCAAAAGAUGAAAGAAGUAGACAUGUAUUUCUUCAGAGAAACAAGCAAAAUGAUUUCUAUUCUUAAAAAAUAAUUUGGCUCAUGUAACAUAAAACUUGAUUUUGGUUUAAUAUAUCAAAAUCCUAAUAAAAUAAUUCCUAUAGCUACAUCAAGUUUUAGAUUUUAAAUCCUUUCAUUGUGUCCCCAAUCUUAUUGUGCUAUUUAAUGAGGCAACAAGAACAAAUUAUAAUAGUUUCUUUCCAAUAUCAUAAAACUUGAAUUAAAUGUAUACAUUUGUACCACAAAAAGAACAGCAGAUGCUAAGAUUCUCUCUCUUGCAAUGAAACCAAUUUCUCAUGGAAGCAAUGAGUAAAUGAUUCUGAAAACU